ACCCGCUGAACUUAAGCAUAUCAAUAAGCGGAGGAAAAGAAACUAACAAGGAUUCCCCUAGUAACUGCGAGUGAAGCGGGAAAAGCUCAAAUUUAAAAUCUGGUGGCUUUUGGUCAUCCGAGUUGUAAUUUAGAGAAGCGUCUUCCGCGCUGAACCGUGCACAAGUCUCCUGGAAUGGAGCGUCAUAGAGGGUGAGAAUCCCGUCUUUGGCACGGAACAUCAGGGCUUCUGUGAUGCGCUCUCGACGAGUCGAGUUGUUUGGGAAUGCAGCUCAAAAUGGGUGGUGAACUCCAUCUAAAGCUAAAUAUUGGCGAGAGACCGAUAGCGAACAAGUACCGUGAGGGAAAGAUGAAAAGCACUUUGGAAAGAGAGUGAAACAGUACGUGAAAUUGUUGAAAGGGAAACGCUUGAAGUCAGUCGCGUCGACCGAGACUCAGCCUUGCCUUGGCUUGGUGUACUUCUCGGCUGACGGGUCAGCAUCAAUUUUGAUCCUCGGAUAAUGGCAAGGGAAAGGUAGCACCUUUUUAGGUGUGUUAUAGUCCUUUGUCGCAUAUGGGGGUUGGGAUUGA
This 569-nucleotide ribosomal RNA is filed under the name Russula violeipes. RNAcentral's name for it is "eukaryotic LSU rRNA". It matches the Rfam family "Eukaryotic large subunit ribosomal RNA", at positions 23 to 591 of the family's 3401-position model. Lineage: Eukaryota; Fungi; Basidiomycota; Agaricomycetes; Russulales; Russulaceae. The record is from RNAcentral.